This 133-nucleotide small nuclear RNA is filed under the name Esox lucius (northern pike). RNAcentral's name for it is "U4 spliceosomal RNA". It matches the Rfam family "U4 spliceosomal RNA". Rfam says of the family: U4 small nuclear RNA (U4 snRNA) is a component of the major U2-dependent spliceosome. The structure of U4 snRNA from yeast and human has been reported. U4 snRNA presents a k-turn RNA motif in the 5p-SL related to recognition of Snu13 protein. Lineage: Eukaryota; Metazoa; Chordata; Actinopteri; Esociformes; Esocidae. The record is from Rfam by way of RNAcentral.
AUCCAUUCGCAGGCGAUAUCAUAGCCUAUGAGGUCUAGCGAGGCGUGAUUAUUGCGGGUGAAAACUUAACCCAAUACCCCGGGACGACUUGCAAUACAGUCGGCCCUGGCAAUUUUGAUAGUCUCGUCAGAGA